This 515-nucleotide ribosomal RNA is filed under the name bacterium symbiont of Megymenum gracilicorne. RNAcentral's name for it is "bacterial SSU rRNA". It matches the Rfam family "Bacterial small subunit ribosomal RNA", at positions 527 to 1041 of the family's 1533-position model. The record is from RNAcentral.
GGAGGGUGCAAGCGUUAAUCGGAAUUACUGGGCGUAAAGCGCACGCAGGCGGUCUGUCAAGUCGGAUGUGAAAUCCCCGGGCUUAACCUGGGAACUGCAUUCGAAACUGGCAGGCUAGAGUCUUGUAGAGGGGGGUAGAAUUCCAGGUGUAGCGGUGAAAUGCGUAGAGAUCUGGAGGAAUACCGGUGGCGAAGGCGGCCCCCUGGACAAAGACUGACGCUCAGGUGCUAAAGCGUGGGGAGCAAACAGGAUUAGAUACCCUGGUAGUCCACGCCGUAAACGAUGUCGACUUGGAGGUUGUUCCCUUGAGGAGUGGCUUCCGGAGCUAACGCGUUAAGUCGACCGCCUGGGGAGUACGGCCGCAAGGUUAAAACUCAAAUGAAUUGACGGGGGCCCGCACAAGCGAUGGAGCAUGUGGUUUAAUUCGAUGCAACGCGAAGAACCUUACCUACUCUUGACAUCCAGAGAACUUAGCAGAGAUGCUUUGGUGCCUUCGGGAACUCUGAGACAGGUGC